AUGCAAGUCGAGCGGAACGAGUUAACUGAACCUUCGGGGAGCGUUAACGGCGUCGAGCGGCGGACGGGUGAGUAAUGCCUGGGAAAUUGCCCUGAUGUGGGGGAUAACCAUUGGAAACGAUGGCUAAUACCGCAUAAUAGCUUCGGCUCAAAGAGGGGGACCUUCGGGCCUCUCGCGUCAGGAUGUGCCCAGGUGGGAUUAGCUAGUUGGUGAGGUAAUGGCUCACCAAGGCGACGAUCCCUAGCUGGUCUGAGAGGAUGAUCAGCCACACUGGAACUGAGACACGGUCCAGACUCCUACGGGAGGCAGCAGUGGGGAAUAUUGCACAAUGGGCGCAAGCCUGAUGCAGCCAUGCCGCGUGUAUGAAGAAGGCCUUCGGGUUGUAAAGUACUUUCAGUGGUGAAGAUGAUGACGGUAACCAGAGAAGAAGCCCCGGCUAACUUCGUGCCAGCAGCCGCGGUAAUACGAAGGGGGCGGGCGUUGUUCGGAAUUACUGGGCGUAAAGGGCACGUAGGCGGCUCUUUAAGUUAGGCGUGAAAGCCCCGGGCUCAACCUGGGAACUGCGCUUAAGACUGGAGAGCUAGAAAACGGAAGAGGGUAGUGGAAUUCCCAGUGUAGAGGUGAAAUUCGUAGAUAUUGGGAAGAACACCAGUGGCGAAAGCGGCUACCUGGUCCGGCUUUGACGCUGAGGCGCGAAAGCGUGGGGAGCAAACAGGAUUAGAUACCCUGGUAGUCCACGCCGUAAACGAUGUCUGCUAGAUGUCGGGGGGUUGCCCCUCGGUGUCGCCGCUAACGCAUUAAGCAGACCGCCUGGGAAGUACGGUCGCAAGAUUAAAACUCAAAGGAAUUGACGGGGGCUCGCACAAGCGGUGGAGCAUGUGUUUAAUUCGAAGCAACGCGCAGACCUUACCAGUCCUUGACAUGGGGAGUUUGGUUUCCGGAGACGGAUUCUUCAGUUCGGCUGCUCCCACACAGUGCUGCAUGCUGUCGUCAGCUCGUGUCGUGAGAUGUUGGGUUAGUUCUGCAAC
Molecule: ribosomal RNA, 1028 nt
Filed under: uncultured Alphaproteobacteria bacterium
Lineage: Bacteria; Pseudomonadati; Pseudomonadota; Alphaproteobacteria
Description: bacterial SSU rRNA
Rfam family: Bacterial small subunit ribosomal RNA
Source: RNAcentral